Long non-coding RNA from Daphnia pulex (common water flea), 2942 nucleotides. RefSeq lists it as uncharacterized. The transcript has 4 exons. The record is from RefSeq and is a predicted model, not a curated record. Lineage: Eukaryota; Metazoa; Arthropoda; Branchiopoda; Diplostraca; Daphniidae.
GUGUUAGAAGCGCUGAAACACUCGCCGUGUUUCCAAACUUUGUGUAGUUUGAGGUGAUUGGGUUUUUUGGAGGGGAACCGCAAAGAUUCACCACGGUCUACCAAGAGAGGUAGCCAAACGCCCUAUCCGGCUAUCCCUUACGUCAGCCAGAAUAAUCAAGGGACUUAGAAGCUUCCUUAAAAUGCCGCUUGGAUCGCGGGCGUAGCUUGGCCACCAGCUGUUGUGUGUAGCACAGUCUCCCUCUCCCCCCUCCUUCUAUAUAUUCGGGGAUUCCCACCCCAAGCCGCCAGCGGCAAUUGGUGGCAAUGGCAGUAUUGAAGAGUUGUGACCAAGCUAUAAUAGCAUUUACAUUCAUUGAAUUAACGUCUGUUAUCCUCAUUUAAGAAAACGGCGCAAUUUUGAACAAAUUAUCACACAAAAAAAUGAAUACAAGAUUGUUGAUGCCGGAAUCUUGGAAGAAGUAAACGUCAUCACUCAAGAACAAGGAGUCCAUCACACAAACCCAGGACAUCAGUGUUCUGUUUCUACAGCUAAAAUGGAAAACUUUUUCUGUGAUACCCACAUCGCUAAUACAACAAGAUCCCAACGCUAAUGUUGGAUUUUCACGAGGUGGUGACGAUAAAAUAAAUGACUUCCUUUGACGGUCGCCUGAGCAAGCUGCAUUGCCUUACUACCUUGUGGAUGGUAACGGAAAAAUCCAUUGCCACUGCAAAGGAAAUCCUGGCCGUUUCAGUCCAAGAGAAAUCUUAUUGGCGAUGCGCCAAAAAAUAUCGUCGCGAUGGGAAAUGUUGUUUAUUCUUUCCAAUAAAAAUUAAUCAUUUUUCCCUAGGGCUCGACAACCUUAUCGCUCGACGUGUGCCUUCUUUUCCGUGUGUGCUUUUUUGCCCAGUUUAUUCCAUCCCACCUCACGUAAUUAUAUUCCAAAGCUCGCAUCUAUAACUAAAAUCCACGCAAGACCUAUUGGCUGCUCCCUUUAGAAUGUUCUCGCUUUUUUUUUACUUUGUGCGACUUUUGGAGAGCGUGAAACAUUAGUUUUCGAUAUUUUUUUUUCUCCUUUUCGGUCCUGGAAAACUACUUAUGCCAAGGGCAGUCCAGUCAAGCUUGACUCCGGAUCAGUGUCAUGACGGACUGGUUUCCAUGUUAAAUGUUUUUUUUUACAAACUCCGACCUAAGAACCAGCAUUGCCAGUUCUAGAAAAAAACAUCAGAAAACUUUUGUUGAUUUGGGUCCCUGGUGGUCGAAGCUGGAAGGGGAUCAAGACAGCAGACGACUGUCGUCAUGGAAACAUAAUUUUAUGGCACUUUCACCAAAACGUCGUUUCUUAGAACUGACAAUGCUGGUCUUUAGGUUAAGUUCCCGAAAUCUGGCAACUUUUAGUAGGGGUACACUGGGGUGCGUCCAAAGUCCAAAAAAAGUUAGCUGGGCUAUCUAAGUUGAACGUUUAGACAGCCUGGCUAGCUACAUGCUAGCUUGCCCCUUGAUAGCCAUAGCGACUGCCAUUGGCUGGCUCAAAAGAAUAUUUCUCUUUAAAAUUCUGAUAGUUUGGCAACAGUGGAUAAUGGUAGAAAAAAAGAAAGAAAAUUAUUUAAAUUCGCCUGCCGUUUUUCUUUUUUUCCUAGGUUUUCAUUUUUUCUCGAGUAUCUUACCUACCCUUCUAUUUUUUUCUUCCUUUGUCGUUAGAGCUGAUACCCCUUGCAAAAUGUGAAACUGUUGCCACUCAGUUCAAAAGAAAGCUUCCUAGAGCAAACAUGUCGGAGACCGAAAUUGCAGCCAUUGCUAUUGAUGGUGUUAUUCGGAAAUUUAGGCUAACAUCGAGUCAAAAGGAACGAUUGUUAAAGGGUGAGAUUUAUUUUCAAAAUUUGUUAAUUAAUUGUAAAUUUCUUAGCUUGUUAUUGCCUUGACAUUGUUGGCAUGUGCGCUCUGAAAUCCUAUUAGAAGCUCUAUGUGUAAUUAUAAUUCUAUGUAAUAUAUGUAUUAACCAUGUUUUUUAUGGUUUUAGAAAAAAGAAUUUGCACGACGGCUUGUAGAAAAAUUUAAAUAAAGUCCGGAAAUUUCUCCCUGUGAUAAAGAUCACCCUGGGUCCCCUAUUAAAGAUACUGCCGGACCUUCCACUAGCGUUUCUCUGCCGGACAUUGCAGCCACCAAUAAAUCUCACACUACCAGGAAGACUACUGCUACAAUUGCUGAUCGUAGCGGAAAUGUCGCAGGUCGUGGCCGCAGUCGUGCUGGAGUCAAUGCUGUGAUUCGACGUGGUGAAACUGAACGUGGACGUGGACGUGCCAGGGGAGGAAUUAGAAUCAAUGGAGGACGUGGCCGUGGUAAAUCCAAUAGCCCAACCACUACACUCCCUUCCAAUAAUCAAGACGAAGUAGAAGAAACAGAUUGGCUCGCUUGGCCUGGUGAAGAUCCAGCGCAGUAUGCAAACAAUGAGGAAAAUGCUGAAAGUAGUGAAGGUGAUGAAGAUGGAAAAGGUCUUUAUUGGUUUACGGAAGCAAGAACAAAUCUCCUUCUUGCAACAUACAAACCACUUGAAAAGAAAUUUGCUGGACAUCGUCAACCAAUCCAACUGUGGGAAAAAUAGCUGGCACACUACAAGAAAAAGGUGCAAAAGGUGUUACUGCUCGAAUGUGUCGGGACAAAUUCAAAAACCUUAAAGCCCGCUACAAACAGAUUCAAUCCCGCCAAUAAAGCACUGGUGCAGCUGGGGAAACUAAAUGGCCUUUUUGGAACGCAAUGGAUGACUUACUUCGCAAGGAUGUUGCUGUCAACCCUGACAAUAUUAUCGAAGCGGGGGCGGCUGGAUACCGGGCUAUUAAACGGCGAUGGGACCAUGACGACGAGGAAGACGUAGAGGAAACGCGUAAUCCUAAAAGGAAGCGAGUAGCAACAAGUGACAUCAUCAAAAUUCUUGCUGAUAACGAAGCUGAACGUGACAAAUCGAA